This 495-nucleotide ribosomal RNA is filed under the name uncultured bacterium. Its description in RNAcentral is "partial 16S ribosomal RNA". It matches the Rfam family "Bacterial small subunit ribosomal RNA", at positions 28 to 505 of the family's 1533-position model. The record is from RNAcentral.
GAUGAACGCUGGCGGCGUGCCUAAUACAUGCAAGUCGAGCGAACAGAUAAGGAGCUUGCUCCUUUGACGUUAGCGGCGGACGGGUGAGUAACACGUGGAUAACCUACCUAUAAGACUGGGAUAACUUCGGGAAACCGGAGCUAAUACCGGAUAACAUAUUGAACCGCAUGGUUCAAUAGUGAAAGGCGGCUUUGCUGUCACUUAUAGAUGGAUCCGCGCCGUAUUAGCUAGUUGGUAAGGUAACGGCUUACCAAGGCAACGAUACGUAGCCGACCUGAGAGGGUGAUCGGCCACACUGGAACUGAGACACGGUCCAGACUCCUACGGGAGGCAGCAGUAGGGAAUCUUCCGCGAUGGGCGAAAGCCUGACGGAGCAACGCCGCGUGAGUGAUGAAGGUCUUCGGAUCGUAAAACUCUGUUAUCAGGGAAGAACAAAUGUGUAAGUAACUGUGCACAUCUUGACGGUACCUGAUCAGAAAGCCACGGCUAACUACG